GAAUUCGCCCUUAGAGUUUGCUUCUGGCUCAGGACGAACGCUGGCGGCGCGCCUAACACAUGCAAGUCGAACGAGCGAGAGAGAGCUUGCUUUCUCGAGCGAGUGGCGAACGGGUGAGUAACGCGUGAGGAACCUGCCUCAAAGAGGGGGACAACAGUUGGAAACGACUGCUAAUACCGCAUAAGCCCACGGCUCGGCAUCGAGCAGAGGGAAAAGGAGCAAUCCGCUUUGAGAUGGCCUCGCGUCCGAUUAGCUAGUUGGUGAGGUAACGGCCCACCAAGGCAACGAUCGGUAGCCGGACUGAGAGGUUGAACGGCCACAUUGGGACUGAGACACGGCCCAGACUCCUACGGGAGGCAGCAGUGGGGAAUAUUGCACAAUGGGGGAAACCCUGAUGCAGCGACGCCGCGUGGAGGAAGAAGGUCUUCGGAUUGUAAACUCCUGUUGUUGGGGAAGAUAAUGACGGUACCCAACAAGGAAGUGACGGCUAACUACGUGCCAGCAGCCGCGGUAAAACGUAGGUCACAAGCGUUGUCCGGAAUUACUGGGUGUAAAGGGAGCGCAGGCGGGAAGACAAGUUGGAAGUGAAAUCUAUGGGCUCAACCCAUAAACUGCUUUCAAAACUGUUUUUCUUGAGUAGUGCAGAGGUAGGCGGAAUUCCCGGUGUAGCGGUGGAAUGCGUAGAUAUCGGGAGGAACACCAGUGGCGAAGGCGGCCUACUGGGCACCAACUGACGCUGAGGCUCGAAAGUGUGGGUAGCAAACAGGAUUAGAUACCCUGGUAGUCCACACCGUAAACGAUGAUUACUAGGUGUUGGAGGAUUGACCCCUUCAGUGCCGCAGUUAACACAAUAAGUAAUCCACCUGGGGAGUACGACCGCAAGGUUGAAACUCAAAGGAAUUGACGGGGGCCCGCACAAGCAGUGGAGUAUGUGGUUUAAUUCGACGCAACGCGAAGAACCUUACCAAGUCUUGACAUCCCUUGACAGGCAUAGAAAUAUGUUUUCUCUUCGGAGCAAGGAGACAGGUGGUGCAUGGUUGUCGUCAGCUCGUGUCGUGAGAUGUUGGGUUAAGUCCCGCAACGAGCGCAACCCUUAUGGUCAGUUACUACGCAAGAGGACUCUGGCCAGACUGCCGUUGACAAAACGGAGGAAGGUGGGGAUGACGUCAAAUCAUCAUGCCCUUUAUGACUUGGGCUACACACGUACUACAAUGGCGUUAAACAAAGAGAAGCAAGACCGCGAGGUGGAGCAAAACUCAGAAACAACGUCCCAGUUCGGACUGCAGGCUGCAACUCGCCUGCACGAAGUCGGAAUUGCUAGUAAUCGUGGAUCAGCAUGCCACGGUGAAUACGUUCCCGGGCCUUGCACACACCGCCCGUCA
RNAcentral lists this ribosomal RNA (1382 nucleotides) under uncultured bacterium. Its description in RNAcentral is "bacterial SSU rRNA". It matches the Rfam family "Bacterial small subunit ribosomal RNA". The record is from RNAcentral.